AGAGUUUGAUCCUGGCUCAGGACGAACGCUGGCGGCGCGCCUAACACAUGCAAGUCGAACGAGCGAGAGAGAGCUUGCUUUCUCAAGCGAGUGGCGAACGGGUGAGUAACGCGUGAGGAACCUGCCUCAAAGAGGGGGACAACAGUUGGAAACGACUGCUAAUACCGCAUAAGCCCACGACCCGGCAUCGGGUAGAGGGAAAAGGAGCAAUCCGCUUUGAGAUGGCCUCGCGUCCGAUUAGCUAGUUGGUGAGGUAACGGCCCACCAAGGCGACGAUUGGUAGCCGGACUGAGAGGUUGAACGGCCACAUUGGGACUGAGACACGGCCCAGACUCCUACGGGAGGCAGCAGUGGGGGAUAUUGCACAAUGGGGGAAACCCUGAUGCAGCGACGCCGCGUGGAGGAAGAAGGUUUUCGGAUUGUAAACUCCUGUCGUUAGGGACGAUAAUGACGGUACCUAACAAGAAAGCACCGGCUAACUACGUGCCAGCAGCCGCGGUAAAACGUAGGGUGCAAGCGUUGUCCGGAAUUACUGGGUGUAAAGGGAGCGCAGGCGGACCGGCAAGUUGGAAGUGAAAACUAUGGGCUCAACCCAUAAAUUGCUUUCAAAACUGCUGGCCUUGAGUAGUGCAGAGGUAGGUGGAAUUCCCGGUGUAGCGGUGGAAUGCGUAGAUAUCGGGAGGAACACCAGUGGCGAAGGCGACCUACUGGGCACCAACUGACGCUGAGGCUCGAAAGCAUGGGUAGCAAACAGAAUUAGAUACCCUGGUAGUCCAUGCCGUAAACGAUGAUUACUAGGUGUUGGAGGAUUGACCCCUUCAGUGCCGCAGUUAACACAAUAAAGUAAUCCACCUGGGGAGUACGACCGCAAGGUUGAAACUCAAAGGAAUUGACGGGGGCCCGCACAAGCAGUGGAUUAUGUGGUUUAAUUCGAAGCAACGCGAAGAACCUUACCAGCACUUGACAUCCGACUAACGAAGUAGAGAUACAUUAGGUGCCCUUCGGGGAAAGUCGAGACAGGUGGUGCAUGGUUGUCGUCAGCUCGUGUCGUGAGAUGUUGGGUUAAGUCCCGCAACGAGCGCAACCCCUGCCAUUAGUUGCUACGCAAGAGCACUCUAAUGGGACCGCUACCGACAAGGUGGAGGAAGGUGGGGACGACGUCAAAUCAUCAUGCCCCUUGUGUGCUGGGCUACACACGUAAUACAAUGGCCAUCAACAAAGAGAAGCAAUACCGCGAGGUGGAGCAAAACUAUAAAAAUGGUCUCAGUUCGGACUGCAGGCUGCAACCCGCCUGCACGAAGUUGGAAUUGCUAGUAAUCGUGGAUCAGCAUGCCACGGUGAAUACGUUCACCGGGUCUUGCACUCACCGCCCGUCA
RNAcentral lists this ribosomal RNA (1376 nucleotides) under uncultured bacterium. RNAcentral describes it as "bacterial SSU rRNA". It matches the Rfam family "Bacterial small subunit ribosomal RNA". The record is from RNAcentral.